UACGUAGGGUGCAAGCGUUGUCCGGAAUUAUUGGGCGUAAAGAGCUCGUAGGCGGUUUGUCGCGUCGGCUGUGAAAACCUAGGGCUCAACUCUGGGCUUGCAGCCGAUACGGGCAAACUAGAAUUCGGUAGGGGAGACUGGAAUUCCUGGUGUAGCGGUGAAAUGCGCAGAUAUCAGGAGGAACACCGGUGGCGAAGGCGGCAUUCUGGACCGACAUUGACGCUGAGGAGCGAAAGCCAGGGGAGCAAACGGG
Molecule: ribosomal RNA, 253 nt
Filed under: uncultured bacterium
Lineage: Bacteria
Description: partial 16S ribosomal RNA
Rfam family: Bacterial small subunit ribosomal RNA
Source: RNAcentral